Molecule: ribosomal RNA, 253 nt
Filed under: uncultured bacterium
Lineage: Bacteria
Description: partial 16S ribosomal RNA
Rfam family: Bacterial small subunit ribosomal RNA
Source: RNAcentral
UACGGAGGAUCCAAGCGUUAUCCGGAAUCAUUGGGUUUAAAGGGUCCGUAGGCGGCCCUGUAAGUCAGUGGUGAAAUCUCCCGGCUCAACCGGGAAAUUGCCAUUGAUACUGCAGGGCUUGAAUUAUCGGGAAGCAACUAGAAUAUGUAGUGUAGCGGUGAAAUGCUUAGAUAUUACAUGGAAUACCGAUUGCGAAGGCAGGUUGCUGGCGGUGGAUUGACGCUGAUGGACGAAAGCGUGGGGAGCGAACAGG